RNAcentral lists this unclassified non-coding RNA (474 nucleotides) under Hevea brasiliensis (rubber tree). Lineage: Eukaryota; Viridiplantae; Streptophyta; Magnoliopsida; Malpighiales; Euphorbiaceae. The record is from RNAcentral.
AACGCCUUGCUCAAUUUUUUGAAUGCUUCCUCUGAUCCUGGUGCCUUGUUCUUAUCUGGGUGGACUUUCAAUGACAAUUUCUUAUAAGCCUUCCUAAUCUCCUCGACAGAACAAGUCUUUUCCACCCCAAGAAUUGCAUAGUAAUCCUUAUUCCUCUUAAUCUGCCUAAUCAAUUCCACAUGUUCUUCAGUAUAAUUCCGCUCUCCAUUUAAACCCUCAUCAAUUUUAGCAGAACUAGUCCUGUUCUUAUUAUUAUCAACAACGCAUUUUUCAUCUAGAGAAGAUGGUAUCGACCCAGAAGAAUCAAUCUUCUCACAGGCAGCUAAAAGCUCAUCAGUAGGCAAAUUAUGAUUCAGACGAUGGGCAAUUCUAAUAAAUUUCAAUGCUCGGUCUUUAUUUCCUGAUGCAAUUGAUUCUUCAGCAAUUCGAACACAUCUCGCAGCUUCAUCUUUGUUAACAUCCAUAGUUUUCUUC